Molecule: ribosomal RNA, 415 nt
Filed under: uncultured bacterium
Lineage: Bacteria
Description: bacterial SSU rRNA
Rfam family: Bacterial small subunit ribosomal RNA
Source: RNAcentral
UGGGGAAUAUUGCACAAUGGGGGAAACCCUGAUGCAGCAACGCCGCGUGAAGGAAGACGGUUUUCGGAUUGUAAACUUCUGUUCUUAGUGAAGAAUAAUGACGGUAGCUAAGGAGCAAGCCACGGCUAACUACGUGCCAGCAGCCGCGGUAAUACGUAGGUGGCAAGCGUUGUCCGGAAUUACUGGGUGUAAAGGGAGCGCAGGCGGGAGACCAAGUCAGCUGUGAAAACUACGGGCUUAACCUGUAGACUGCAGUUGAAACUGGUUUUCUUGAGUGAAGUAGAGGUUGGCGGAAUUCCGAGUGUAGCGGUGAAAUGCGUAGAUAUUCGGAGGAACACCGGUGGCGAAGGCGGCCAACUGGGCUUUAACUGACGCUGAGGCGCGAAAGUGUGGGUAGCAAACAGGAUUAGAUACC